Molecule: small nucleolar RNA, 76 nt
Organism: Prolemur simus (greater bamboo lemur)
Lineage: Eukaryota; Metazoa; Chordata; Mammalia; Primates; Lemuridae
Gene: SNORD115
Rfam family: Small nucleolar RNA SNORD115
About the family: HBII-52 is a member of the C/D class of snoRNAs, which contain the C (UGAUGA) and D (CUGA) box motifs. HBII-52 is encoded in a tandemly repeated array with another C/D snoRNA, HBII-85, in the Prader-Willi syndrome (PWS) region of chromosome 15.
Source: Ensembl
GGAUACAUGUGUGGAGAGUAUCUUCAGUAGAUGUGAUGAUAUAAAAAUCAUGCUCAAUAGGAUUAUACUGAGGCCC